UACGGAGGAUUCAAGCGUUAUCCGGAUUUACUGGGUGUAAAGGGAGCGUAGACGGUGCAGCAAGUCUGAUGUGAAAGGUCGGGGCCCAACCCCGGGACUGCAUUUGGAACUGUUAAGCUGGAGUGUCGGAGAGGCAGGCGGAAUUCCUAGUGUAGCGGUGAAAUGCGUAGAUAUUAGGAGGAACACCAGUGGCGAAGGCGGCCUGCUGGACGAUGACUGACGUUGAGGCUCGAAAGCGUGGGGAGCAAACAGG
This 253-nucleotide ribosomal RNA is filed under the name uncultured Blautia sp. Its description in RNAcentral is "partial 16S ribosomal RNA". It matches the Rfam family "Bacterial small subunit ribosomal RNA", at positions 524 to 776 of the family's 1533-position model. Lineage: Bacteria; Bacillati; Bacillota; Clostridia; Lachnospirales; Lachnospiraceae. The record is from RNAcentral.